UCCCCAACAGAGGACACUGUCUUAUAGAAACCUUGGAAGCAAACAAGAUGCCAGGCCUAUCCGUGCUUGGAGAUCCUACUACGGACAAGGCCACAGAGGGACAACGCCAGCAACAUCCAGAUCUUAGGCGGGUUUUCUGGACCAACGGCCAUUCUGGACAAGCUUCUGGAUCCCGUGGACUUCAUGACCAGACAGCCAGGUUGCUGCCUACAAACAUCUGCUUCCACUGAGGGCAUCUUGCAGCCCACCAGCUCUCUGGAACUUUCUGGAGUCAAACCUCUCCCAGACUGUCUGCAAGUGCCACUUGGCCACUUGGCUUCUGGAUGGAAAUGUGGCCCUACUGGACACUCCCCAGAACCAUGUGGACCCAGCCCCUUGGACCCUCUGCCCAGUCCUGAUGAUAACCUGUCAGAGGACAUGACAUACUUGGCCAUUCUGGAGGAGAUGUGCAAUUUCCAGACAUCUGCAGGUCUCCACUCUAGACCAGGGUUAGGGACUCAGAGUGGAUCUGAUCUAGAUCAACAUUUGUGGUUCUGGGUGUAGCUCUAUGGAGCUUGAAUGGUGCUUCCAAGGGGCAAGCAUUGCCAGGGCCACACCGUCAAUGCACAAAGGGGAAACUAAGGCAGUCUUCAAAGAGACAUCAUUUGCGGAGGUCACAAGGCAAGACAAUAUAUUUGUUGCUGAGAUAAGAACCCAGAAUUCUGCCUCCUGACCUCAGAGUCCAGCUUUUGAAAAAUACUUAGGGUCACUGCGCUGUGUGUGAACCAAAGACCUGUUUCAGGAUCUAUUUCUCCAGUGUGGAUAUGGCCUUUGGGUUACUUUACUCUGUGCUAGCCCUCAGUCACCCAAAAUAGAUGACCUCAAAGGAACUCCCACUUCAGUUGGGCCUCUGAGAUUCUCUGAAAAAUGGGUGUUUGGGCUGGCGAAGGGACCAUGCUGAGAGGAUUGUCUUCCUUCCACAAGACCGAAGUUAAGGAAACUGCAGAUGGUAGUUACUUCAGGCACAGGCUGUGCAGACCGCUCUGAGGAUGACCAGGGGUCUGCUUUGUGCAUUUUGGACCCCAUCAGAUUCCUCCAAUGAAUAUAAUGGAAAACCUGGAUCCCUGCACCCCAUUCCUGGCUCUGCACAGCUCUCGCCAGCCGGCCCCCUCCGCACCCUCCCUUCUCCC
Molecule: long non-coding RNA, 1169 nt
Organism: Mastomys coucha (southern multimammate mouse)
Lineage: Eukaryota; Metazoa; Chordata; Mammalia; Rodentia; Muridae
Exons: 3
Source: RefSeq, a predicted model, not a curated record